RNAcentral lists this ribosomal RNA (403 nucleotides) under uncultured bacterium. Its description in RNAcentral is "partial 16S ribosomal RNA". It matches the Rfam family "Bacterial small subunit ribosomal RNA", at positions 28 to 526 of the family's 1533-position model. The record is from RNAcentral.
GACGAACGCUGGCGGCGUGCCUAAUACAUGCAAGUCGAACGCAGUGGGGACGGGUGAGUAACACGUGGGUAACCUCCCAUCAGAGGGGAUAACACUUGGAAACAGGUGCUAAACCGAUAUUGGUGUAUGGACCCGCGGUGCAUUAGCUAUUUGGUGAGGUAACGGCUCACCAAGGCUACGAUGCAUAGCCGACCGGAGAGGGUGAGCGGCCAAACUGGGACUGAGACACGGCCCAGACUCCUACGGGAGGCAGCAGUGGGGAAUAUUCGGCAAUGGACGAAAGUCUGACCGAGCAACGCCGCGUGAGUGAAGAAGGUUUUCGGAUCGUAAAACUCUUUUGUUAGAGAAGCGGUAUCUAACCAGAAAGCCACGGCUAACUACGUGCCAGCAGCCGCGGUAAUUC